RNAcentral lists this ribosomal RNA (50 nucleotides) under Ficus oreodryadum. RNAcentral describes it as "partial 28S ribosomal RNA". Lineage: Eukaryota; Viridiplantae; Streptophyta; Magnoliopsida; Rosales; Moraceae. The record is from RNAcentral.
CAAUGCGACCCCAGGUCAGGCGGGGCUACCCGCUGAGUUUAAGCAUAUCA